Molecule: ribosomal RNA, 484 nt
Filed under: uncultured bacterium
Lineage: Bacteria
Description: partial 16S ribosomal RNA
Rfam family: Bacterial small subunit ribosomal RNA
Source: RNAcentral
AUUGAACGCUGGCGGCAGGCCUAACACAUGCCAGUCGAGCGGAUGAAGGGAGCUUGCUCCUGGAUUCAGCGGCGGACGGGUGAGUAAUGCCUAGGAAUCUGCCUGGUAGUGGGGGAUAACGUCCGGAAACGGGCGCUAAUACCGCAUACGUCCUGAGGGAGAAAGUGGGGGAUCUUCGGACCUCACGCUAUCAGAUGAGCCUAGGUCGGAUUAGCUAGUUGGUGGGGUAAAGGCCUACCAAGGCGACGAUCCGUGACUGGUCUGAGAGGAUGAUCAGUCACACUGGAACUGAGACACGGUCCAGACUCCUACGGGAGGCAGCAGUGGGGAAUAUUGGACAAUGGGCGAAAGCCUGAUCCAGCCAUGCCGCGUGUGUGAAGAAGGUCUUCGGAUUGUAAAGCACUUUAAGUUGGGAGGAAGGGCAGUAAGUUAAUACCUUGCUGUUUUGACGUUACCAACAGAAUAAGCACCGGCUAACUUCGUG